CUGAACUCGAGUAGGGCCCAAGCAAGCCAGGAAGGAGGAGGCAGCCAGAGUGUUCUCUGCAGCAGAAGACCCCUUGCUGCCCUGCUUAACCCAGACCAGCAUUUGCCAGGUUCUGGAAUGCUCUCCCAGUGAAUGUCCACACUUUGACAUCGGUGGCUGCUUUGAAAAAACAACAACUGAAGACCUUUUUAUUUGUUCAAGCUUUUACCCCUUAGGGCCAGCCAGGUUUCUCAACUUUCUUGCUUAUGUUUAUCUUUUUUAUGUUUGGGUGUUUUUGUUUGUUUGUUUGUUUGUUUGUUUACUGUUUAACUGAUUUUAAGGUUUUAAAUGUGAUUUUAAUGAAAUGUUAUUGUCUUUUAGCUUUUGUAAACUGCCUUGGGAUGCCUUAUGAAAGGUGGUAUAAAAAUUGAACAAAAAAUUAAAACAAACAAACAAACAUUGCUUCAGACUUCCAUUCCGAGAACUAUGACUACAAACCACGACCACUACCCAGUUUAGUGCUUUGUCCAGGCCUUUCGGAUGAAACUUCAGUCCAAUUAAAAUAUUGUUAUUACAUCCUGCCCUAAAUGGCUUCCAGAUAUGUCAGUUAGCUGAUGAAGCAGAAAAACAAGGAUCACACACUUGUUGGGAUUUCCCUUUUUAUUAUUAUUUUCACAACACAUAGGCAACAUAAAUAAGCAAGGAAAGAGAAGAAAGAACCAUAAUCUGAUUAUAAAAAUGAUAGCCAAAAUAAAUCACAAUAGCCAUCUUAAGACCUUAGUAUUCUCUCUUGAGUUCUAGACUCUCAUAAAUUAAGAUUCUCAUGCAGUCUGGAAAUGAUCAGAAGUUUGUCUACCCACCUGGAUCCUUAUGAAAUUAAUCAUUUUAACCAUGUUGGUUAAAUCUCAUUAAGCCAUGAAUCUCCGUUUGUAAAGGAAUGUUCAACUUACUCUCUG
Hemicordylus capensis (graceful crag lizard) is the source of this 935-nucleotide long non-coding RNA. RefSeq lists it as uncharacterized. Lineage: Eukaryota; Metazoa; Chordata; Lepidosauria; Squamata; Cordylidae. The transcript is spliced from 3 exons. The record is from RefSeq and is a predicted model, not a curated record.